GCGAGCGUUGUCCGGAAUCACUGGGCGUAAAGGGCGCGUAGGUGGCCCGACACGUCAACGGUGAAAGCUCGAUGCUCAACAUCGAGUCGGCCGUCGAUACUGUCAGGCUGGAGCACUGUAGAGGCUCAUGGAAUUCCGGGUGUAGCGGUGGAAUGCGUAGAGAUCCGGAAGAACACCGGUGGCGAAGGCGGUGAGCUGGGCAGUAGCUGACACUGAGGCGCGACAGCGUGGGGAGCAAACAGG
RNAcentral lists this ribosomal RNA (243 nucleotides) under uncultured bacterium. RNAcentral's name for it is "partial 16S ribosomal RNA". It matches the Rfam family "Bacterial small subunit ribosomal RNA", at positions 534 to 776 of the family's 1533-position model. The record is from RNAcentral.